RNAcentral lists this transfer RNA (66 nucleotides) under Platevindex sp. CL-2014. Its description in RNAcentral is "tRNA-Cys". The record is from RNAcentral. Lineage: Eukaryota; Metazoa; Mollusca; Gastropoda; Systellommatophora; Onchidiidae.
GGAGUGGUAGUUUAACAUGUUAAAAAUGUCAAUUUGCAAAAUUGAAGAAGGGCAUCCCCCACUUUU